AUGAUCCUUGGCGACUUUAAUGAAAUCACCAACAUGAGUGAAAAGGAAGGUGGUAAUAACAGGCUUGAUCACUAUAUGCGGGACUUUAGAGACUGUAUUGAUGAUUGAGGGUUACAGGAAGUAAUGGUGAUAGGAGAUACAUUCACAUGGAGUCGUGGACCGAUCGGAGAGCGACUUGACAUGGCUCUAUGUAAUGAAAUGUGGGCAGAAAAAUUUCCUUUUGCAGGACUGGUACACGAACACCAUACCCAGUCUGACCAUAGGCCUAUUCUGCUCGAUACGGAGUAUUUCAAACCGAUGUUGAUUCAGCAGCAGCAGACCCGGAAAAGAAUGUUCGAAGCACGGUGGUUGGAAGAAGGGACAGUGAACGAGAUUGUAAACACAGCUUGGGAGCGAGCCAAGUUAGCUGGGCUAGGCCCGUCCCUUGCGGGUCGGACCAAGGCAGUAUUGAAGGACUUGCAUAUGUGGGAUCGUGAGACCCUAAAGAGCCCUAAGAAGAGAAUAAAUAAGUUAAAGAAAGAUCUGGAGAAAUUAAGAAGGGGACCGAACACUCCUGAAAACAGACAGAGAAUGAAAGAUAUCCAAGUCCUAAUUGAAAACCUACUGGAUCAAGAAGAGAUGAUUUGGCUCCAACGUGGAAGGGCAAACUGGUUUGCUGCAUGGGGAUCGUAA
RNAcentral lists this ribosomal RNA (672 nucleotides) under Triticum aestivum (bread wheat). RNAcentral's name for it is "partial small subunit ribosomal RNA". The record is from RNAcentral. Lineage: Eukaryota; Viridiplantae; Streptophyta; Magnoliopsida; Poales; Poaceae.